Molecule: RNA transcript, 843 nt
Organism: Carlito syrichta (Philippine tarsier)
Lineage: Eukaryota; Metazoa; Chordata; Mammalia; Primates; Tarsiidae
Gene name: non-histone chromosomal protein HMG-14 pseudogene
Exons: 1
Source: RefSeq, a predicted model, not a curated record
CGCCAAGAUGCCCAAGAGGAAGGUCAGCUCCGCCCAGGGAGCGGCGAAGGAGGAGCCCCAGAGGAGAUCGGCGCGGUUGUCUGCUAAACCUGCUCCUGCAAAAGUGGAAGCGAAGCCAAAAAAAGUAGCGGGAAAGGAUUAAUCUUUAGACAAAAAAGUGCAAGCAAAACGGAAAAGGGGAGCGAAGAGAAAGCAGGCUGAAGUGGCUAACCAAGAAACUAAAGAAGAGUUACCUGCAGAAAGGAGGAGAAUCCAGCCUGUGAUGAAGCAGGAGAGAAAGAAGCCAAAUCUGAAUAAUAUCACAUCCCAUGUUUUAUCAGUGAUCCCUGUCUCCCUUCUUGUACAAUACAGAGGAAUAUUUUUGUCAACUAUUUUGUAAAUGCAAGUUUUUUUAGUAGCUGUACAAACAUUUUUAAGAAGGAGGGAAUCCCACCUCAUCCCAUUUUUUAAGUGCAAGUGCUUUUUUUUUUUUUUAAGAGGUGAAAUCAUUCUCUAGUUGUUUAUUUUUUGGUACAAUCAGAAAAUAGGGUGGGAUAUUGAAUUACAGGAGGCUUUGACUGUCUUGGGUAUCAACUUAACAUUCCAUAGAUGGGGGUUAGUUUUUAUAUCCUAUAAUGCAAAGUAUACCAAGUGGCAAUAUGGAUCACAGUCCUGCAUUUAAUGUCUUGAACAUUUAAAAUUACUUCUAUUUCCAUGUUGUUUUUUUUAGUAGACUUGUUUCCUAAAGAAAAUCACUCCUCAAUCAUGGUUCUCCCUGUCAGAAUUGUGUUCACUCUGUAACAUCUUUGGUCAUGGUAAAUCUGUUUUCCUGAUAACUUUGUUAAUGUGUUGAAAGAUUGAAAA